CCUACGGGCGGCAGCAGUGAGGAAUAUUGGUCAAUGGCCGUAAGGCUGAACCAGCCAUGCCGCGUGAAGGUCAGUGCCCUAUGGGCGUUAAACUUCUUUUGUGCGGGAGCAAUAAUGGUCACGUGUGGCCAGCCGAGAGUACCGUACGAAUAAGCAUCGGCUAACUCCGUGCCACAAGCCGCGGUAAUACGGGGGAUGCACGCGGUAUCCGGAUUUAUUGGGUUUAAAGGGUGCGUAGACGGGAGUGCAAGUCUGGAGUGAAAGGCGGGGGUUCAACCCCCGGACUGCUGUGGAAACUGUACGGCUGGAGUGAAGGAGAGGUAAGUGGAAUGCCUGGUGUAGCGGUGAAAUGCGUAGAUAUUAGGAAGAACACCAAUGGCGAAGGCGGCUUACUGGACUGUAACUGACGUUGAGGCUCGAAAGCGUGGGGAGCAAACAGGAUUAGAUACCCCUGUAGUC
This 459-nucleotide ribosomal RNA is filed under the name uncultured bacterium. RNAcentral describes it as "partial 16S ribosomal RNA". It matches the Rfam family "Bacterial small subunit ribosomal RNA", at positions 338 to 795 of the family's 1533-position model. The record is from RNAcentral.